CCUACGGGAGGCAGCAGUGAGGAAUAUUGGUCAAUGGACGAGAGUCUGAACCAGCCAAGUCGCGUGAAGGAUGACUGCCCUAUGGGUUGUAAACUUCUUUUAUAGAGGAAUAAAACGCGGCACGUGUGCCUUUUUGCAUGUACUUUAUGAAUAAGCAUCGGCUAACUCCGUGCCAGCAGCCGCGGUAAUACGGCGGAUGCGAGCGUUAUCCGGAUUUAUUGGGUUUAAAGGGAGCGUAGGCCGGUCUGUAAGCGUGCCGUGAAAUUUUGUGGCUCAACCAUGGGAGUGCGGCGCGAACUGGAGAACUAGAGAGCGCGGAAGGCAGGCGGAAUGCGUGGUGUAGCGGUGAAAUGCUUAGAUAUCACGAAGAACCCCGAUUGCGAAGGCAGCCUGCCGCAGCGUUACUGACGCUGAAGCACGAAAGCGCGGGUAUCGAACAGGAUUAGAUACCCCAGUAGUC
Molecule: ribosomal RNA, 460 nt
Filed under: uncultured bacterium
Lineage: Bacteria
Description: partial 16S ribosomal RNA
Rfam family: Bacterial small subunit ribosomal RNA
Source: RNAcentral